Molecule: unclassified non-coding RNA, 274 nt
Filed under: Hevea brasiliensis (rubber tree)
Lineage: Eukaryota; Viridiplantae; Streptophyta; Magnoliopsida; Malpighiales; Euphorbiaceae
Source: RNAcentral
GGUAGUAUUCGACAUAGUCCGGCUCUAGCUCAUUAAAACUAUUCACCACCACACCAUAGCUCUGACACUCCGACUCAAUGGCUUGGCUGAUCAACAAGGCCAAAGGAGGAUCAAAUGUCGAGAGGUCUGGAAUCUGGUCCCUAAGCAUCUCGAUCCGAUGUGGAAGGCCCGGGAGGACAAAGGACUGAGCAUCAGGUGGCAAGCUAUCAAGUGGCUUGUGGCGUAGUAAUGUGUCUUGAGCACAUAAGGCGAAGAAGGACGUCCCGUGGAACAC